This 506-nucleotide ribosomal RNA is filed under the name uncultured bacterium. RNAcentral describes it as "partial 16S ribosomal RNA". It matches the Rfam family "Bacterial small subunit ribosomal RNA", at positions 29 to 523 of the family's 1533-position model. The record is from RNAcentral.
AGUGAACGCUGGCGGUAGGCCUAACACAUGCAUGUCGAACGGCAGCACAGGAGAGCUUGCUCUCUGGGUGGCGAGUGGCGGACGGGUGAGGAAUACAUCGGAAUCUACUCUGUCGUGGGGGAUAACGUAGGGAAACUUACGCUAAUACCGCAUACGACCUACGGGUGAAAGCAGGGGCUCUUCGGACCUUGCGCGAUUGAAUGAGCCGAUGUCGGAUUAGCUAGUUGGCGGGGUAAAGGCCCACGAAGGCGACGAUCCGUAGCUGGUCUGAGAGGAUGAUCAGCCACACUGGAACUGAGACACGGUCCAGACUCCUACGGGAGGCAGCAGUGGGGAAUAUUGGACAAUGGGCGCAAGCCUGAUCCAGCCAUACCGCGUGGGUGAAGAAAGCCUUCGGGUUGUAAAGCCCUUUUGUUGGGAAAGAAAUCCAGCUGGCUAAUACCCGGUUGGGAUGACGGUACCCAAAGAAUAAGCACCGGCUAACUUCGUGCCAGCCGCCGCAGUAA